AGAAUAUUAGAAUCCGUCUCUUAAUUUUUAACUAAAAAAGUUAAGAAUCGGUUCUAAAAUAAGAGUUUUAAGAGCCGGUUCUUAACUUUUUUAAUUAAAAGUUAAGAGACGGGUUCUUAUAUUCC
Molecule: non-coding RNA, 125 nt
Organism: Brassica napus (rape)
Lineage: Eukaryota; Viridiplantae; Streptophyta; Magnoliopsida; Brassicales; Brassicaceae
Source: Rfam